ACGAGCCUUACCCCUACCAGAAAGGGCAGAGAGGCUGUUUCCAAUCGACCCUCGGCUUAGUGCAGGAAAAGAACAACAAAAACAAAAACAAAAGGGCAUUAGUAACUCCAGCAGAAAUAGCGUAAAUAAUUAUAUAAACGUGAGAAACAUAAAUAAAAUAGCAUGCAAUAGUAUCAUAGAGUAACUACCAUAAAUAACUACCAUAAGGGAGACACAAACCAAAACACAAAUCAUCUAUGGAUAGCCCUGCCAAGCCUCACCCAACCCUAAAAAACAUAAAUAAAAUAGCAUGCAAUAGUAUGAUACAGUAACUACCAUAAAUAACUACCAUAAGGGAGACACAAACCAAAACACAAAUCAUCUAUGGAUAGUCCCGCCAAGCCUCACCCAAACCCGAGUGAGGAGUAUGAAAAACCCUAGGAGCCCCUAUCCUACAACCCUGAUACUAGACAUCCAGACUUUCCUAACAAGGGUCAUGUCCUCGGAAACCCGCAUUCUAUCCAUGUCAUGCCUAAUCACCUCUCCCCAAUACCUCUUAGGCCUCCUUCUUCCUCG
Molecule: long non-coding RNA, 555 nt
Filed under: Nicotiana benthamiana
Lineage: Eukaryota; Viridiplantae; Streptophyta; Magnoliopsida; Solanales; Solanaceae
Description: long non-coding RNA (NBEN_LNC029953)
Source: RNAcentral